UGGGGAAUCUUGCACAAUGGGGGCAACCCUGAUGCAGCGACGCCGCGUUAGCGAUGAAGCCCUUCGGGGCGUAAAGCUCUUUCGACCGGAACGAUAAUGACGGUACCGGGAGAAGAAGCUGCGGCUAACUACGUGCCAGCAGCCGCGGUAAUACGUAGGCAGCAAGCGUUGUUCUGAGUUACUGGGCGUAAAGAGUGCGUAGGCGGUUUUCUAAGUUCGGUGUGAAAUCGCCCGGCUUAACUGGGAGGGUGCGCCGAAGACUGGGAAGCUGGAGUGUGGGAAAGGCAGGCGGAAUUCCUGGUGUAGCGGUGAAAUGCGUAGAUAUCAGGAGGAACACCGGCGGUGUAGACGGCUUGCUAGACCAUAACUGACGCUGAGGCACGAAAGCGUGGGUAGCAAACA
RNAcentral lists this ribosomal RNA (402 nucleotides) under uncultured bacterium. RNAcentral describes it as "bacterial SSU rRNA". It matches the Rfam family "Bacterial small subunit ribosomal RNA", at positions 355 to 774 of the family's 1533-position model. The record is from RNAcentral.